AAGCCAUGAGGAUAUUUGCGCCUCUGUGAUUGUAGGGUCUAUCGCAACCGUCUGAUCUUCAAGACGACAACAAGCGCAUCUGAGCUU
RNAcentral lists this small nucleolar RNA (87 nucleotides) under Corchorus capsularis. RNAcentral's name for it is "snoRNA snoR114". It matches the Rfam family "small nucleolar RNA snoR114". The record is from Rfam by way of RNAcentral. Lineage: Eukaryota; Viridiplantae; Streptophyta; Magnoliopsida; Malvales; Malvaceae.